GACGAACGCUGGCGGCGUGCUUAACACAUGCAAGUCGAACGGAAAGGUCCUGCUUUUGUGGGGUGCUCGAGUGGCGAACGGGUGAGUAACACGUGAGUAACCUGCCCUUGACUUUGGGAUAACUUCAGGAAACUGGGGCUAAUACCGGAUAGGAGCUCCUGCUGCAUGGUGGGGGUUGGAAAGUUUCGGCGGUUGGGGAUGGACUCGCGGCUUAUCAGCUUGUUGGUGGGGUAGUGGCUUACCAAGGCUUUGACGGGUAGCCGGCCUGAGAGGGUGACCGGCCACAUUGGGACUGAGAUACGGCCCAGACUCCUACGGGAGGCAGCAGUGGGGAAUAUUGCACAAUGGGCGGAAGCCUGAUGCGGCAACGCCGCGUGCGGGAUGACGGCCUUCGGGUUGUAAACCGCUUUCGCCUGUGACGAAGCGUGAGUGACGGUAAUGGGUAAAGAAGCACCGGCUAACUACGUG
Molecule: ribosomal RNA, 468 nt
Filed under: uncultured bacterium
Lineage: Bacteria
Description: partial 16S ribosomal RNA
Rfam family: Bacterial small subunit ribosomal RNA
Source: RNAcentral